RNAcentral lists this long non-coding RNA (1669 nucleotides) under Malus domestica (apple). RNAcentral describes it as "long non-coding RNA (MDOM_LNC006680)". Lineage: Eukaryota; Viridiplantae; Streptophyta; Magnoliopsida; Rosales; Rosaceae. The record is from RNAcentral.
GGAUUCCUCGUGGCCACCAAAGCUCUGCUAUCUAGAACCUGGAGGGGCGCAAAACAAAAUUGAGUGGGUCAGUAAAACAAAGUUUUUCAAAAACUUUUCAUUUAAAACAUUUCUAACCCCUCGCUGUAAAACCUGUAUACUUUCCCAGAAAAUAGCAUAAUAGCAUAAUACUUUUCAUAAAUCUCAAAUCAUCAAUUUUUCUCAAAAACCAGAAAGUAUGCCAUGUUAUAAUUUCAAAAACAGAAUGAAUUAUGCAUCAAUGUAACAGGUGAAAUGGUGAAUUAACCGGAGACCCUGCAGUUGGUCCUGUACGGUUAAUUCUAUAGCUCAACAUCCAAUCCAACCGGAAUCACCUCGGUGACCUGUACGGCACUACACUGCAUAUAAGUCGGAACUACCUGAAGUAGUCUGUACGACAUGAAUGGUGUAAUAAUACGCUCUAGUGCUUCUCUCAUCAAUAAAAUGUGCACAUAAUCUAAGGUCACCUAUCAGUCGGAACCCUCUCAUGGUCUGUACGACAUGCACCUACUUGGAUCCAAGGUGAGCGUGCGGUGCGAGGUGAAUAAUAUAAGCACUAACACCAUGAUUGCAGGUUAUGAGCUAUCAACAUAAUAUACAUCAUCAAUGAUUCACAUGAACAAUAUAAAACUCACCUGAUACUUACCUGUGCGUCCACAACACCAAUUCACAUAUAUAUAUAUAUGCAUCAAUUAUCAAUUCAUAUAAUUCAUAUCAUUCAUAUCAUGCAUAUCAUUCAUAUCGUGCAUGCAUGGCAUUUUAGAAACAUACUUUCAUUAAAAACUCAAUUUCUAGGAAUUUCAAUAGCAUAUAGGUAUAAAUAGAAAAUACUGCCCACUCACCUGGAAUUCGCCCAACAACUCCCUAGCACAACACAUCAAGGCGUCAUGACGAUCGGCGCCUAGAACAAUAAUCAAAUCCAACCUCAGAAAUCAUAUCGAUAGAAUGUAACUUAUAUAAAACACAUCACUACGCAGUUUGAUCCGGAAGAUCUGCAACUCAGAUUUCCAAUCCAUAACUUCCAGAGGUCCACAAUAUACCUCUAGGACAACAUCCUAAAAUUUCAUUACCAUCCAACGGUCGGAUCUCCGUCAAUUUCCAAAACCAAGUGACAGUUAACAUUUUAUUUUAUGAACUUACAACUCCAAUUCCGGAAGAUCCGUAAAUCGGAUUCCCGAUCCGUAAGUUCCUAAAAUCCUCAAAUAUUACGUAUUACAACGUUUCAAAGUUUGGUGACGAUCCGACGGUUGGAUCGUCAAUUCACAUUUUCACCUAACCACGAAUCGAAACGAACUUAGGUUCAAUUACUCAAUUUACGUCCAUCAAUUAUCAAAACUGAACCUAGAGCAUUAAACACAUGCUAAGAAUGACAUUGGCGGGUCACUGGCCAUGCGCCGCCGCACGGGCCGCCGCGGGUGGCGGUUGCCCGCCCCGGCUCGCCGGAAAAUCCAACUAUUUAAAAAAAUUCUCAAAAAAAACAUAAUUGAAGAUCUCAAUGAGUAGAGCAAACUUUAUACCUGUGGCCAAGGCCAAUUUGGCCUGGAAACACUUCAAAUUCAUCAAAUUCCGUGCGGACCCUAGAAUUGGGUGAGUUCCAAUUCGACCUUCAAAUCAACUCCACCGUCCAAAUCAAAGCUUGGGCUUUGUUCCA